CCUCCCUCCUACAUGCUUCUGUCAGCUCUUUUACCACAGCAACAAGAGGUAACUGAUACGGGACACUGGCCAAGAUGACUGGCAGGGUCUCAGUGUGUGGGCCAGGCUGACCUCCCACCUCUGCCUCCCAAGUACACUGAUUAUAGGCUGUGUCGCCUGUUUUCCUGAAGGAGCUUCCCAGCCUCGGCAGGACCGUGGUCAGAGGAAGGUCCUGGCACACCUGGGGGAAGGUUGAGUGCAGCAAACACUACACAAUGGGACUAAAGGUGCAGAGGCCUGCCAUCUUCCUUCAGGAACAACAGACUCCAUCAGGGACUUUGGGAUGAGGAACUAGUUUUACCUCUCCUCCCAAGACAACUUUGGUGUAACAAUAAAAAUGUCUUUGCAUGGCUGCUCAAGGUUCAAGUCCCUCCCUGGACCUCCCUGCUGCCUUGGAGCCAGAAUCCCCUCCUUCUUUGUGGAGCGCCCCUCCUUCUUUGAUUGACCUGCAUAACAAAGAAUCCUGACAGGACCCAAUACCCUCCCUCUUCUGGCCUCUGCAAACCAUGUGGUGUAUAUACAGGUAAGCUGGAGCACACACAUACACAACAGUCAAUGC
Molecule: long non-coding RNA, 598 nt
Organism: Apodemus sylvaticus (European woodmouse)
Lineage: Eukaryota; Metazoa; Chordata; Mammalia; Rodentia; Muridae
Exons: 3
Source: RefSeq, a predicted model, not a curated record